Molecule: microRNA precursor, 166 nt
Organism: Oryza sativa Japonica Group (Japanese rice)
Lineage: Eukaryota; Viridiplantae; Streptophyta; Magnoliopsida; Poales; Poaceae
Rfam family: MIR812 microRNA precursor family
Source: Rfam
ACUAUGGUUUUCGUCCGUCUUAUAUGAAUUUUUUUAUAAUUAGUAUUUUCAUUGUUGUUAGAUGAUAAAACAUGAUCAAUACUUUAUGCGUAACUUAUCUUUUUAAUUUUUUUCAUAAUUUUUUCAAAUAAGACGGACGGUCAAAUGUUGGACACGAAAAUCAUGG